RNAcentral lists this ribosomal RNA (313 nucleotides) under uncultured bacterium. Its description in RNAcentral is "bacterial SSU rRNA". It matches the Rfam family "Bacterial small subunit ribosomal RNA", at positions 28 to 333 of the family's 1533-position model. The record is from RNAcentral.
GACGAACGCUGGCGGCGCGCCUAACACAUGCAAGUCGAGCGCGGUCCCUUUGGUGCUUGCACCAAAGACGACUGAGCGGCGGACGGGUGAGUAACGCGUGGGUAACCUGCCCUGUACAGGGGGAUAACGAGUUGGAAACGGCUGCUAAUACCGCAUAAGCGCACAGUACCGCAUGGUACCGUGUGAAAAACUCCGGUGGUAUGAGAUGGACCCGCGUCUGAUUAGCUAGUUGGUGGGGUAACGGCCUGCCAAGGCAACGAUCAGUAGCCGACCUGAGAGGGUGACCGGCACAUUGGGACUGAGACACGGCCAA